Molecule: long non-coding RNA, 4109 nt
Organism: Passer domesticus (house sparrow)
Lineage: Eukaryota; Metazoa; Chordata; Aves; Passeriformes; Passeridae
Exons: 6
Source: RefSeq, a predicted model, not a curated record
AGGCUGGGAGGAAAGGGCUUGUGCACCCACAACUCUGUGCUAUGUAGAAUGACACUACACAUGACUGGGGGUUCGUGGUGAUCGCUAACAUUAGGAAAAGAAUUGAUGACAAAACUGCAAGUCUUGACUCUUUCUAAAGACCAGUCCUGGCUUUCUUCCCUCCCAGCUUCUUUUGCAUCAUCUUGCUGGCAGAGCUUGAGAAACUGAACAGUCACUGACUUAAGUGGGUAAUGGACUGUUUGUUGAACAGCAGUGGUGAGCACCCAAUGGCCACCAGCAGCUGAUUCUCCAUAGAAUGAUAAUACUUUCACAGAUAAAAUUUAACUGCUUUAGAAGAAUCAACCCAUUUUUUGACCCAGUCACACUGCCAGAGAUUUCUUCAAACUAGAAAGCUUUUUGUGCUUCCUCUGCAUGGAAUUCUCUCACGAAGAUCUCCAGUCAAUGAAUGCCAUGUUUAAAGUCCAAGCAGUGCACCAAGUUCUGCUGCUGUUUUAUGUCUGUGAGACAACCUUUCUUCCAGGAUUCCUGGUCCCCUGCUACCAGCAGAGAACACUAUAUACUCCCCAAGACUUUGCUAACUGUGGUUUGCAAGUUGCUAACUAAAAACUUGCACUGGUGUGCUGACACUGUGAGUUGUGGUAUGCGAUGCCCAAAAUGACAGGGGAAUUGCCUGUUUCCCCAUGAAGUGUUGCCUCUUCUCUUCUUACACUUUGUGUUUCACUAUAAAUGCCAUUUGUUUGGUGUUGUGAGGCUGGGGGUAAAUCAGAGGUGCUGUUUGUCAGUGGGUUAUGAACUUGAUGUUCUUGGAGAAUUUAGGGACUUUUUAAACAAAGAGAGUGUUAUUUCUUUUGCAAAUGUUGCUUUGUCAUUGUUCCAAAGAUGGCAAGAGACUGUGUGUUUUUAAUCUUCAGCCUUCUCAGCUCUUCACAAGAAGUAGAUGUGCUGUUAAUAUCACACAGCCUUUAAUUAAGUAAUUAGCACUGGAAAGACAAUGCUAAGAAAUCAGGAAUGGGAAAAAUAAUAGACUUUCCAGGCCUUAACAGUCUAUCUAUUACUACAGUAAUCUUUUAGCCUCAUUCCCUUAUGAACUAAUAUCCUCAGUGGUACUGUCAUGUCUAUAACUUAAUUCCCAUCAAUGAAGCUGCACAGCCUAAUAGAUCUGUCCCAGGUAAGCAGUUUUCACUCUGCAGAACAGAAGAUGCUUUGCCUACUCAAUGGUCCGUAUCAGCUAUUAAGUACUGACAAUGGUCUUCCCUGAGCAGCCUUUUAGCAAACAGCUUAUUUCAGUGAGCUUGCCUGGUGCAACAGGAAUGAUGAAGGGUGAGGGUAUUUUAUGGGUGCUGGUUGGAGUUCUUGAUAAUUUAAUAUUCAGCAUCAAUUCAAGCAAUAGUUGUAUCUUUAUGUAAGUGUAUUGGGUCAAAAAUACCUCCUUACUCAAUGUGACUUGAAAAAAAUUGGUGUGCAAAAUGCGACCUGCUUUUAGCAGUUCAUCUUUCUGGUCACAGAACACAUUUAUUAAUCAUUCAGUACAUUUUUGCUAUUUUGAUAGCUGAGAAAACCUUUGAUGCAUUGUUUGAGUUCGUUGGUUUGGCUUGGGUUUUGGGUCUUUUUAGCUUUUUUUCCUUUGUUUUCUAAGGGAGAAAUGGUAAAAUAUAGGAUUUUCCUUAAUGCAAUGUAUUCUUUGACUUUCUCUAGCCUCCUGUUACUAAGAUGAUUAAUUGCUCUUGCUGGAAGAUAGGACUCUGAAAAGAGUCCUCUUGAUCUGAUAGAGACUAAAUUUAUUGGGGGUGUGGAGAGAAAAAUAUAUUGGUUUUGGCUUUCAACAUAGUUUGUGCAUUUUAGAAAUAAAGUUUGAAGGACCCCCAGCAUUUCUGAGAGAGGCAUGAGAGAAAAAGAAAGGCAGCUCCAUGAAGUAAAUCAUGUCUGAUGUUUAGGAGCUAUUGGACUACUUGGCAAUGGAAAGCAUUAAUUCUAUAUGCAUGCAGGAGACUUAAUUAUGCGUUUAUAGUAGUGCAUUCAUCUGCGAACAAAGCCUCUGGACUGCUUGUGUGACACCUUGUGCAAAGUCAUUCACUGUAGUGUGAGGUCAUGUCUUCAGAAUCAUCAUCUCCAGGGAAAACCCUCUCGGUUUGUCUCACUGGAGAAGGGUACUUGAUGUCACCUUUCUGGGAAGGAGAAUGGAUUGUCAUCCUAUGGACCCAGCUGGCGCCUUGGAGUCCCCUGAGAAUGGAGUCACUCUGUGUGGAUGUUUGCUGCACACCUCAGGAGAGAUGCUGGAUGGUAGCAGAGCCUAAAGGAGGAGCUGGAGAGAGGCUGCUCAGGAUCCAGAGCUCUGGGUGGAUUUUCUCUGGAUGAAAGAACCUGCUGAUUCUGGUGAGAGGUAGAGAUCACCUUGGGAAGGUGACAGCAGAAAACCAUGUUUUCAUGGGCCGUGCUCUCUCCUGAGCUCAGAUGCUACCUUGUAUAACAAGAGCUAUUUGCUGAGAAUGUCCUUUAGUCUGGAGUUGCAUGGAAAACAAAAUAUCUGUCAGAACAUAAUUACUUUUAUGGCACUAGUCAUAUUGCCAUAAAGGAUCUGAAGUGAUUUCUAACCUGCUUUGUGGCCUGGAGACUAGAGUCUCUAUUGUAACCUCUGCUGUGCAAGGAUGGCCUCUGUGGAUCCCCUGCUUUCCCUCUCUGUGGUUCACUCUGUGUGCUCUUCUGCAGGGAAUGUUGAGCAGAUGGGCUGGCCUGGCAUAGGCUGGCUUUCAACAGCUGCUUCUUCUGUGGCACAAAAUGAGGAGAGAUCCAUUUUCUUUAGCAGCUGUGAGAGUGCCACUUUGGUGGUGCUGACAAAAGUUCAUCUGCAGCCCCAUCUAUGUAGGAAGGUUUCCAUUGGUUUCAUACUUCUCCAAAGCCAGACCUACUUUGUUUUUACUGUAAUGUCUAUAUCUCACUGAGGAAAAUUAGUGUCCUAAUGUGCAUCUCUAAGCUGUUGAGACAAUCCAAGCCUCUUGCUUUGCUGCAUGUAGCAGUGUUAGAGCUGAUCUGCACCCAAGUGGCUUGUCUGCCUGUAGUGUUUUUUGAUUGUGAUGGGGCAAAUGAGGGAAAGUUUUGUGAGAAGGGAAAAUCCACUUCCUUUUGUCUCUUUGUCUUUAACAGCUUUAUAAGUUGUAGCUUUCUGAUCUGUGUAUUUUCAAAUAAUAUUGCCUUCUAUGACUGUUUCCUGUAAAUGAAAAAUAAAACCAAGAAUUUCAAGUCCUUCUAGAGUUUGUUUUCUUUUUUGUGGCUGUGUUUGUUUUUUGUUGCAUCUUCAGCACUGGGAAAAGUAUUUGAGUAAUGCUUCACUCUGUCUAGGACUUUUUCCAUUACAAGACUGUCACUUUUGCUGGGUGUUGGGGUGUUUUUUUAGUUUUGUCUAUUUGUUUAGGUUUUUUAGUCCUAAAGUACCUGGAUUUUCUCUUUCCCUCUCAGUGGAUAAUUUUAAUUAUUAAAAAAAUUUAAUAUUUUUAAUCUCAAGCAUCCUCUAGAUAUUGUUUAAGGACUUUUAAGUUGAUUCUGGAAAAAAGUUAUUUCAUGAUGGUGAAGAUACAAGUUUUGGGAUCUUUUGCCUCUUGUCUAGAACUGUUUGUGGAGGAGCACCCUUCUUAUUUGCUGGAUUGGAAGGAUACCGAAUUUGCAGCGUGGCUGCACUUGGAUCCACUGGCACUGUUGUAAAAAUGAGUUAGAUGGGGCCUAGAGUGUAUUUAGGAGUUUAACUGCAUAAUAUUUUAACCUACAGUGAAGGUGGGAAAAUAAGAAAAGUUGGACUAUUAGGUUUAUACUGAGUACAGAACAUGUUAAGUUUUAAUGAGUUAUCUGGAGCAUAAAAGGGAACAAGGACAGAAUCAGAGAAGUAAGAUUUUAUCAUUGUUGCAGAAAAGAAGAACAAUAUUAUGUUAUUUUAUCUUAAAGAAGGAUGGCAGAAUGUUGUUUUAAUAUUAUUGGAAGGUGAAACAAUGGAGUCCAUGUUGGAAAAUGUAGUCAUAUUUGAGUUUUUCUAGCAAAAAUACUUCUCUUUGGAAAGAUGAGAGUGCAUGAGCAAAUGUGAUCAAAGAUCUAUGAUCUUGCAAAAUAAAAUCAUGAUGAAA